This 587-nucleotide ribosomal RNA is filed under the name uncultured bacterium. Its description in RNAcentral is "partial 16S ribosomal RNA". It matches the Rfam family "Bacterial small subunit ribosomal RNA", at positions 355 to 1375 of the family's 1533-position model. The record is from RNAcentral.
UGGGGAAUUUUGGACAAUGGGCGAAAGCCUGAUCCAGCAAUGCCGCGUGUGUGAAGAAGGCCUUCGGGUUGUAAAGCACUUUUGUCCGGAAAGAAAUCCUUGGCUCUAAUACAGUCGGGGGAUGACGGUACCGGAAGAAUAAGCACCGGCUAACUACGUGCCAGCAGCCGCGGUAAUACGUAGGGUGCAAGCGUUAAUCGGAAUUACUGGGCGUAAAGCGUGCGCAGGCGGUUUGCUAAGACCGAUGUGAAAUCCCCGGGCUCAACCUGGGAACUGCAUUGGUGACUGGCAGGCUAGAGUAUGGCAGAGGGGGGUAGAAUUCCACGUGUAGCAGUGAAAUGCGUAGAGAUGUGGAGGAAUACCGAUGGCGAAGGCAGCCCCCUGGGCCAAUACUGACGCUCAUGCACGAAAAGCGUGGGGAGCAAACAGGAUUAGAUACCCUGGUAGUCCACGCCCUAAAACGAUGUCAACUAGUUGUUGGGGAUUCAUUUCCUUAGUAACGUAGCUAACGCGUGAAGUUGACCGCCUGGGGAGUACGGUCGCAAGAUUAAAACUCAAAUGAAUUGACGGGGUCAUAGCUGUUUCCU